GAAUUGAUGUUAGGUCCAAGCACCAGGAAUGUUUAUAGAUUAGUUGAGAAAGAUAUCUUUGGAGAUGCUGAAAUUAGAGAGAGAAAGCAGAUCCCUACAACCAAUUCUUAUCGGUUUAAUGCUACUAAAACAGCCAAAAUCCUUAACAUUCAGGUAAUGGAGAUCAUUUCAUUUUUAUGUACCGAUAACAAAUGUGGUUCUCUUGUGCUUUCGAACAAUUAAACAGUAUUUUGGUUAUCCUUGAUGAAGCUGCUAUAGCUGCGGUUAUGAAUGCUGACGAUUGGAAAGCAUAGCUAUGAGGCAAUUUCAGACAGAGGAUAACAAAUGGGAUGUAUUUGUUACCUUAAUUGUUAUAAAUUUGACCGUUAUUACAAAAACAUUGCUGCCAGCAAAUUAUUGUCAGUUCAUGUUGACUUGCUAGAAAUUUUUGAAUGUAUAUGACGUGAUACACACCCAUGAUGCCUUUAAGAUAAAUUCACUAAUAAAUAAUUAAGCUUAUGAGAAAAAGGAUUUUUAUUAUAUGGUGAUAUUUUACAAUGUCAUGCACGUUGAUGAUGCUUUUAGAUAAUCACAAAUCUUAGAUGAUAUUUACAAAUUUUAUAUGCGUAUAUUACAUUUGGUAUGCUAAAAGAAUAAUAGAAUAUUGAUUUGUGAGUACUUGUUACUUUAUCUCAAAAGUGAUUCAGAAUAUUGCCUUGUAUAUUAGCAUGUAUUUGGAUGAUCCUCUGAAGUUUGAAGAUUAAUUUUUUGUUAUUUGAGUUAGAUAUAUCAUCGUACUAAAUAAAAGAGGGAAUCAGGCCUUCAAUGUUCAUUCUUAUGGUUCCCUUUUUCACACCUGAUUUUUUUCUACCAUUCAUAAAUUGGUUCAAACGGGAGUGUAUUAAAUGCUCCCUUACGGAAAUCUUUUCUCACACGCCUCUCUAAUGCUACAAGAUGGAAAGUAGUGCUAACCUUUCCUUUUCCCUUUCCUUGUGGCGGAUUUCCAAAGAGACUCGUGGUCUCCUCAAGAUCUUGGAGAAGAAGCAAUGGAAUCAUUGCAUCAUUCUUUGAUUCGCAAUCGGCUUCUCGGAACAGUUGGAGUUACGACUCUCUCAAGAAUUUCCAUCUAAUUUUCCCUACUGUUUAGACCCAUCUCAAGCAAGUUUAUUUUAUCAAUUCAUGAACAUCUUCUUCAUGAUUCUUGGGAAAGAAUUGAUAGUUUCAUGAUAAGAAUUGAAUAUUUUUUGCCCCCCUUUUACCCCUUUUCAGCUUAAAGUGUAGGAAUAUUAUGGUCUCUCCCUUAUCACUUCCAAACAAAUUGCGUCGAGAAGAAUUCUUAUUUUUUUUUAGGCGGUGUAUGGCGGUGAUUUUUGUUAUAAGAUCAAGCAUGUGCUAGAGCCUUUUAGCUCGGGUGAGCUCUCUUAAGCCGAUUACAUCUAGAUCCACCGAGUCAACAUGAAGAACAAUUCUAGCCUCGAAGGUCUCAUGAAGGUGGCAGAUCUUGUAAUCCUCCAACUCGUUGAUCGAAUUUUUCCUAUAUCGGUUUUGUUAGAUUAUUCAGUUUCUGUGCUUUAUUUUUUAUUUAUUUUCUACUCUACUUGUUCUAUUAAAUUUCUACUAUGAAGGGAUUAAUAUUGAGCAAUUGUAGGUUGCAACGAGAUUGUCUAAGGACGAGAAGUUUCAACAACUUUCCAUGUAGCACUAGCUUGAAGCUGUAAGUCUCUGAACCAUAUAAGUGAUUCUUACAUUUGGGAUUUGCUAUUAUCCAAAUUUUAGCUUCCAUUCAUUCUGAAGUGUAAAGUAUUUUUGCAGUGGACAAACUUAUAAAAAAUGCUUUUAUCAUUGGUUUUACCCACUCUUAGUGAGAAGACAAAUCUGAACCAUCGAUAUAUUUGCUUGAAAAUGGUCUGUGAUAUUAAUUAUCAUUAUUUACUGUAGAUUGAUCCACACCGUAGGUAUUGGCACAAUUUACAUCUCUAUUGCAAUAUCUGGUUCAAAAGAGAGGCUACAACAUUUCUUUUACUGUGAGCACCCAACUAACUAUUUUAGAUUGAUACCUUAUUUGGUUUGACGUUUGGGAAACAAUUAUGGGAGUAGAAACUUAUAACUAUUAGAAAUACAAUCAAAACUUUCUCCUUUUUUUUUUGAUAUUUUAAUGAACAAAAUAUUUCUUACUGACUUGUUCUUGCAACAUUUGUUCUUUAAUGUAAAGGUUGGAUGUUAGAGAUGGAAAAGAACUAAAUUUAGAGAAGUGCUCAGGGGACAAUUUGCAAUGGCAAUGCAUCAAAUAUCUGGGACCAGCAAGUUUCAAGUCAUUGAAGAGCAUUAGCAAUCUCAAGAGUAGACAUUGCACUUGAAUUUAUUUUUUCAAAUAAUGUAAAGUGCUAAACUAAUUAUAGUACAUUAGCUAGCAUUCUCAUGAACACAAAUUAUCAUUCCUCCAGCAGAAAGAGUGAAAUCAUAUGAAGUCGUGGUUGAAAAUGGGAAGCUUGUGUACAAACAGAGUGGUUACACUGUGGACACAAUUGAAGGUUCAAAAUGUAUUGUUCAUCCAAUUGAACCCGUAUAAGAAAGGUAUUUUUGUUUUAUCAAAUUUGAGAUUUUCCGUUUUUCUUUCCCAACAGUAAUGAACUUGAAUUACAAUAAUCAGUAGUCAUCGAUGGUAUUGAAGUU
This 2652-nucleotide long non-coding RNA is filed under the name Olea europaea subsp. europaea. The record is from RNAcentral. Lineage: Eukaryota; Viridiplantae; Streptophyta; Magnoliopsida; Lamiales; Oleaceae.